Molecule: long non-coding RNA, 694 nt
Organism: Cebus imitator (Panamanian white-faced capuchin)
Lineage: Eukaryota; Metazoa; Chordata; Mammalia; Primates; Cebidae
Exons: 4
Source: RefSeq, a predicted model, not a curated record
UGCGGAAGGACCUGGCGAGUGGCGACUGUGCGAGACCAGCAGUGGGUGGGACGCUGGUGUGGACUGGUGCUCUGACUAAGGCUGUCUCUGCCUUGUCUCCGCCCCACUCGAGGCUCCUGGCCGGCGUCCCUCACAGGGAGCACAGAGCUGGGUCCCAGCUGCUCUACCUCCGCCGCGGCUGUUACUUAGGCAACCCCAUCCACAUCACCCUGCACUGGAGAUUACUCUUCAGCUCCCUUGACCAGGGCUGUUGCAGCUCUAUUCUAGCUGUUGCUCACUCCUUGCCCAGCUGCUGUUUGAUCCUGCUCAGUUCUACCAAGUGAACUCUGACGUCUAAAGUCUCCUACAAAGUCUGUGGUCAGCAAAAUAUUUGAGAAUUACUGAAUCCUAACAAUUGUACCUGGCAGUCAACUUGGACACUCAUGUGGGCCUCCCCUCGUCCUGGGAAGGUAUCUGAAGUGUUAGGGUCAAGGUGCCCUCCUGACAUUGCUGCCCAGGAACCAGAGCCUGGAGAGAAAUAGAUAAUUCUGCAUUCUGAGCUCUCAGAGGAGAGGUGUGUAUGCAGAAGAGGAAAGGCUGAGUAUUAGCCCCUGACCAAGCUAUCUUAAGCCUGUUCCUUGUGGUCUUACGGAACUUUUAUUCAUUUGUUAACUUAUUCAUUUAAACAUCCUUUCAUUCAAUCGUUCAACAAACA